RNAcentral lists this ribosomal RNA (429 nucleotides) under uncultured bacterium. Its description in RNAcentral is "bacterial SSU rRNA". It matches the Rfam family "Bacterial small subunit ribosomal RNA", at positions 30 to 455 of the family's 1533-position model. The record is from RNAcentral.
AUUGAACGCUGGCGGCAUGCCUUACACAUGCAAGUCGAACGGCAGCACGGGAGCAAUCCUGGUGGCGAGUGGCGAACGGGUGAGUAAUAUAUCGGAACGUGCCCAGUCGUGGGGGAUAACGCAGCGAAAGCUGUGCUAAUACCGCAUACGAUCUCUGGAUGAAAGCGGGGGACUCAGCAAUGGGCCUCGCGCGAUUGGAGCGGCCGAUAUCAGAUUAGCUAGUUGGUGGGGUAAAAGCUCACCAAGGCGACGAUCUGUAGCUGGUCUGAGAGGACGACCAGCCACACUGGAACUGAGACACGGUCCAGACUCCUACGGGAGGCAGCAGUGGGGAAUUUUGGACAAUGGGCGAAAGCCUGAUCCAGCAAUGCCGCGUGCAGGAUGAAGGCCUUCGGGUUGUAAACUGCUUUUGUACGGAACGAAACGGUU